GAUGAAGAACGCAGCGAAAUGCGAUAAGUAAUGUGAAUUGCAGAAUUCAGUGAAUCAUCGAAUCUUUGAACGCACAUUGCGCCCCUUGGUAUUCCGAGGGGCAUGCCUGUUCGAGCGUCAUUAUAACCCCUCAAACUCAGCUUGGUGUUGGGGCCUGCUGCACUGGCAGCCCUUAAAAUCAGUGGCGGCGCCAUCUGGCUCUAAGCGUAGUAAUUCUUCUCGCUAUGGAGUCCUGGUGGAUGCUUGCCAUCAACCCCCAAUUUUUCUAUGGUUGACCUCGGAUCAGGUAGGGAUACCCGCUGAACUUAAGCAUAUCAAUAAGCGGAGGA
RNAcentral lists this unclassified non-coding RNA (329 nucleotides) under soil metagenome. RNAcentral describes it as "partial contains 5.8S ribosomal RNA, internal transcribed spacer 2, and large subunit ribosomal RNA". The stretch from base 1 to 120 matches the Rfam family "5.8S ribosomal RNA", at positions 35 to 154 of the family's 154-position model. The record is from RNAcentral.